AUACGGAGGGUGCAAGCGUUAUUCGGAAUCACUGGGCGUAAAGGACGCGUAGGCGGGUUGGCAAGUCAGAUGUGAAAUCCUACAGCUUAACUGUAGAACUGCAUUUGAAACUGCUAACCUAGAGUAUGGGAGGGGGAGAUGGAAUUAGUGGUGUAGGGGUAAAAUCCGUAGAUAUCUCUAGGAAUACUGAAAGCAAAGGCGAUCUCCUGGAACAUAACUGACGCUAAGGCGUGAAAGCGUGGGGAGCAAACAGGAUUAGAUACCCUAGUAGUCC
Molecule: ribosomal RNA, 274 nt
Filed under: uncultured bacterium
Lineage: Bacteria
Description: partial 16S ribosomal RNA
Rfam family: Bacterial small subunit ribosomal RNA
Source: RNAcentral